CACCGGCGGCUCGAGUGGUAACCGUUAUUAUUGGGUCUAAAGGGUCUGUAGCCGGCCGGAUAAGUCUCUUGGGAAAUCUGGCAGCUUAACUGUCAGGCUUUCAGGAGAUACUGUCUGGCUCGAGGCCGGGAGAGGUGAGAGGUACUUCAGGGGUAGGGGUGAAAUCUUGUAAUCCUUGAAGGACCACCAGUGGCGAAGGCGUCUCACCAGAACGGACCUGACGGCAAGGGACGAAAGCUAGGGGCACGAACCGG
Molecule: ribosomal RNA, 254 nt
Filed under: uncultured bacterium
Lineage: Bacteria
Also listed under: 1 other name
Description: partial 16S ribosomal RNA
Rfam family: Archaeal small subunit ribosomal RNA
Source: RNAcentral